GACGAACGCUGGCGGCGGGCUUAACACAUGCAAGUCGAACGGAUAGGCCCUGCUUAUCUGGGGUGCUGGAGUGGCCAACGGGUGAGUAACACGUGUGUAACCUGUCCUUGACUGUGGGAGAACUUCAGGACACUGGGGCUAAUACCGGAUAGGAGCUCCCGCUGCAGGGUGGGGCUUGGAUAGUUUCGGCGGUUGGGGGUGGACUCGCGAAUCAUCAGCUUGAUGGAGGGGUAGUGGCUUACCAAGGCAUGGACGGGUAGCCGGGCUGCGAGGGGGACAGGCCACAGUGGAACGGGAAUACGACCCGGACUCCAACGGGAGGGGGCAGUGGCGUAUAUAGCACAGUGGGAGGAAGCCUGAUGCGACCACGCCACGUGCGGUGUAACGGCCUUCGGGUAGUAAGCCGCUUUCCCCUGAGACGAAGAGAGAAUGACGGUAAUAGGUAAAGAAGCCCCGGCUAACUCCGUG
Molecule: ribosomal RNA, 468 nt
Filed under: uncultured bacterium
Lineage: Bacteria
Description: partial 16S ribosomal RNA
Rfam family: Bacterial small subunit ribosomal RNA
Source: RNAcentral